AGGAAAGCCAGCCCCACUGCCGCGUCACGUCAGGUCCCGUACACACUGGUGCCUCAAAACGUUUGGAGAAACACCGAGCUUCCUCAAAAGUCGAGUCUUACUUUGGGUAGCGCUUCAGUCUGAAGAUGGCGAUGGUGCUUGAGGUUUGGUGAAAACAAUGGUCUGAUCCUCAGCGUUGGUGGAAGCAGGGAGCCUGAAAGGGCAGUCAGGUGUCCUGAAUGAUGAAUCCCACUUGAUCAUCGAGUAACCUAUUGGUAUAG
Molecule: long non-coding RNA, 260 nt
Organism: Epinephelus lanceolatus (giant grouper)
Lineage: Eukaryota; Metazoa; Chordata; Actinopteri; Perciformes; Serranidae
Source: RefSeq, a predicted model, not a curated record